Molecule: transfer RNA, 56 nt
Filed under: Onchocerca flexuosa
Lineage: Eukaryota; Metazoa; Nematoda; Chromadorea; Rhabditida; Onchocercidae
Description: tRNA-Ile
Source: RNAcentral
GUUAUAAUAGUUUAUAUUUAGAAUAUUGUUUUGAUGGGACAUUGGUUUUUAUAAUU